RNAcentral lists this transfer RNA (73 nucleotides) under Pseudomonadota bacterium. RNAcentral's name for it is "tRNA-Met". It matches the Rfam family "tRNA". Rfam says of the family: Transfer RNA (tRNA) molecules are approximately 80 nucleotides in length. Their secondary structure includes four short double-helical elements and three loops (D, anti-codon, and T loops). Further hydrogen bonds mediate the characteristic L-shaped molecular structure. tRNAs have two regions of fundamental functional importance: the anti-codon, which is responsible for specific mRNA codon recognition, and the 3' end, to which the tRNAs corresponding amino acid is attached (by aminoacyl-tRNA synthetases). tRNAs cope with the degeneracy of the genetic code in two manners: having more than one tRNA (with a specific anti-codon) for a particular amino acid; and 'wobble' base-pairing, i.e. permitting non-standard base-pairing at the 3rd anti-codon position. The record is from RNAcentral. Lineage: Bacteria; Pseudomonadati; Pseudomonadota. RNAcentral also lists the same sequence under 5 other names.
UGCGGGGUAGAGCAGUUGGCAGCUCGUCGGGCUCAUAACCCGGAGGUCGCUGGUUCGAGUCCAGCCCCCGCUA